Molecule: long non-coding RNA, 363 nt
Organism: Xiphophorus hellerii (green swordtail)
Lineage: Eukaryota; Metazoa; Chordata; Actinopteri; Cyprinodontiformes; Poeciliidae
Exons: 2
Source: RefSeq, a predicted model, not a curated record
UAUCUCGAAAUAAUUUGUCAGUGGAACUAGUACUUUUUUUUACAUAAAAUUAGCUUUCUCUUAUUUCUAGUGUACUAAGAUAUUUGCACUAGAAACUAGAUCAAAAAUACUUGGUAAGAUUUUGGAUUUUUGCAGAGCAAACAUGCGGCUCUGUUGCAUUUUGGCCAUCUGAGGGGAUUUUAUGGUGUUUGACAGCCUCCAUACUAAUAUACCUGCAUCCCUCAGCUCAGUUUCUAAAACACCUGUGAAGACUUUACAACACCAGUGGUUAAAUUAGAAGCUAAAAUCGAUCUGUUUGUGUGCCUUUGCACCCUCUUGCACUCAAGACAAGGAAAUUGAUUGUCAGUGACAUAAACGUAAGAG